Molecule: ribosomal RNA, 964 nt
Filed under: uncultured bacterium
Lineage: Bacteria
Description: bacterial SSU rRNA
Rfam family: Bacterial small subunit ribosomal RNA
Source: RNAcentral
GAUGAACGCUGGCGGCGUGCUUAACACAUGCAAGUCGAACGUGAGGGGGUACUUGUAUCCCUGAAAGUGGCGGACGGGUGCGUAACACGUAGGAACCUGCCCUGGAACGGGGGAUAACCACGGGAAACUGUGGCUAAUACCGCAUGAGCUUGAAGUAACGGGAGUGCUUCAAGCAAAAUUCAGGUGUUCUGGGAGGGGCCUGCGGCCGAUUAGCUAGUUGGUGGGGUAAAGGCCUACCAAGGCGAUGAUCGGUAGCUGUUCUGAGAGGAAGACCAGCCACACGGGAACUGAGAGACGGUCCCGACUCCUACGGGGGGCAGCAGUGAGGAAUAUUGCACAAUGGGGGAAACCCUGAUGCAGCAACGCCGCGUGAAGGAUGAAGGCUUUCGAGUUGUAAACUUCUUUUCUGGGGGAAGAGGAAGGACGGUACCCCAGGAAUAAGACAUGGCUAACUACGUGCCAGCAGCCGCGGUAAUACGUAGGUGUCGAGCGUUAUCCGGAAUUACUGGGCGUAAAGGGCACGCAGGCGGCUGCUCAAGUCUGACGUGAAAACUCCCGGCUUAACCGGGAGAGGCCGUUGGAAACUGAGUAGCUUGAGGCAAUGAGAGGGAUGCGGAAUUCCAGGUGUAGUGGUGGAAUGCGUAGAUAUCUGGAAGAACACCAGUGGCGAAAGCGGCAUCCUGGCAUUGACCUGACGCUGAGGUGCGAAAGCGUGGGUAGCGAACGGGAUUAGAUACCCCGGUAGUCCACGCUGUAAACGAUGUGAACUAGGUGUAGGUGGUAUUGACCCCAUCUGUGCCAAAGCUAACGCGAUAAGUUCACCGCCUGGGGAGUACGGCCGCAAGGCUAAAACUCAAAGGAAUUGACGGGGGCCCGCACAAGCAGCGGAGCGUGUGGUUUAAUUCGAUGCGACGCGAAGAACCUUACCUGGGCUUGACAUGUACCUAGUAGUGAACCGAAAGGG